UACGGAGGGGGCUAGCGUUGUUCGGAAUUACUGGGCGUAAAGCGCACGUAGGCGGCUUUGUAAGUUAGAGGUGAAAGCCUGGAGCUCAACUCCAGAAUUGCCUUUAAGACUGCAUCGCUUGAAUCCAGGAGAGGUGAGUGGAAUUCCGAGUGUAGAGGUGAAAUUCGUAGAUAUUCGGAAGAACACCAGUGGCGAAGGCGGCUCACUGGACUGGUAUUGACGCUGAGGUGCGAAAGGGGGGGGAGAAAACGG
RNAcentral lists this ribosomal RNA (252 nucleotides) under uncultured bacterium. RNAcentral's name for it is "partial 16S ribosomal RNA". It matches the Rfam family "Bacterial small subunit ribosomal RNA", at positions 524 to 775 of the family's 1533-position model. The record is from RNAcentral.